This is a long non-coding RNA of Centrocercus urophasianus (Greater sage-grouse), 2337 nucleotides long. RefSeq lists it as uncharacterized. The transcript is spliced from 2 exons. The record is from RefSeq and is a predicted model, not a curated record. NCBI's taxonomy places the organism in Eukaryota, Metazoa, Chordata, Aves, Galliformes, Phasianidae.
CCUAGCCGCUACCGGUCAGGCUUUUUCCCGGUGCGCUGCUUUAUCCCGGGAAGCCGUGUGGGCGCGUCAUCAACUCGUGCCUCCUUUCUUCCGCUUCCGGGUGGUGGCCGCCUUCCUUUAUUUUACAGCGCGAAGGGGAGGCAGGGUAGGGGCUUGUUGAGCUCAGUGCCGUAACGUGGUUGGGAGCGGCUUUGUUCGCCGAGAGGGCAGUCCUGCGGCGGUUCUGCCGAAGCAUAAAAGCGGAGCCCGGGAGUACAAGAUGGAGGGGUGGGCGCAGAGGCUCUUUAGGGGCUGCCCCGUGCGCGCAGCCCGCCCCGCUGGAGCUCCUCGGCAGCCCCCGGGCUCCUGCCGAGCGCUGAGCGGAGCGCGGAAGCUGGCAGCAGCGAGGGACGUGCGGUAAGAGGAAGCGUUUGCGGGGCUAAAGAACAAAAGCAGUGCGUCCCGCAAGUAACAAAUCUGAGCGUGUUCCCUGCUUUGUGGGGAUGGCGUCUGAACGUUUGGUAGUAGUAACGGCCAUCUGUGUUACUUUCGGAAACCAACCCAUCUUGUGACCAAGACAUAGAAGAGUUCUUGUUUUCUGUGAUUUAUGUGUUAUGAUUAAUGAGCAAGGUUGUUCACUGCAUGUGCAACAAUUCAUAGUGGAUAAAGCUUAUUUAAUCUUUGCAAAAUGUAUGUCUUUUAUAUUUUUGUUUCUUUGUCAAACUGAUGUGUUAUGAAGAAGCUCCCUGAGUCUUAUGUAGAAGAGGCUAAGUGGCCCAGUUUGGCACUUCUGAUCUACCAGAAAGAUGCCUGUUGCUUUAAUGUUCUGGAGAUUCAGGAAGGGAAUUAAGUGAAAUUUAAUUAAAAAGGCAAAGAUGUUACCAUGCUGAACUAGAAUUCUCAAUUAAAAAUUGAUACACAUUAGGUUGUGAUGGAAACUUGAUUGUAUUUGGAAUCCCAUGUCUAAUUCCAGCUAUUUCCGCAAGGAUAUGGUUAAUAAGAAAAGAGAAGCGAAAUGGAGACAUCACAUUGAAGGGUCAUAAAUCCUUGUGGGGACAAUGAUUUAAAUCGCCUGUUCACGAGAAGUAUUAAUGGAACUCCCAUGGGAUUUCUGAUGUUUUGCUCUUCUUCCUGUUAGAAGAACUGUUAUCAGUUCAAUUUUGAAAACAGUAACAAAAGCACAUUCAAACUGUGGAGUUUAAACUCAAUCAUUUCCAGACCUUCUGCAGCUGAGCAAAAUUAGUGGUUAUGAAUUGAUGGUUUGAGUUUCUUAUACGUACACAAGAACAAAGGUGUCUAAGAAUGAUACUGUCACAGAGGCUUUUCCCUUUGGAGGAAAAAAAAAAAAAAAAAAAAAUGUGGGUGUGUGUGGCAGGGGUGAAGGGAAGGCAGCUGGUUGAAAAGAUCAGAAGAAAAGGCUUGUUUCAGCUUAUCAGGGCAGGACUCCUCUUUGUGUCCGAGUCAGAUAUGUCUUCCUUACUUGUUGCAGAGCCUGAAAAUGAAACGUUAUUAUAUGCAAUAACAGUUGAGCUCUACUUAAGUGUUUUAUUGUCUCUUGAAGCUUUUUUGAAGCUCCUGUUCAGCGUGCCAGGUGAAUAAUAUGAGGUGUAUCAUCAGGGCAACACCUGGCAACAUCAACUUGUCCUUUGAGACCAGUUAGAAUGCUCAGUGUACCUACAGUUCUGGACUGCACAGCUAAAAUCUGUGUGGCAUACAUACAUUUUGAAUGCUGAAGAAGAAGCUGUGAAACUUUUAUAGUAAUUUUACCUAACUGGUGAUCUGAGCCAGUUGUUGGAUUUGGAUCCUUUAACGGGGGGAAGUCAUGCUAAUGAUAAAAGUAGAAGUGUUUUGAGUCCUGUACUGAGGGAAUAGAAUGUAAAAUGUUCAACCUAGAGAGCAGACCUUUAAAUUAGACACUUUUUAGAUGUCAAAGUAAUUAAUACAAUAGUACAAAUUAGUACCAAGUAAUUAGUCCCAGUAUGAUGAGUGUACUAAGUCUGCUUUGGGAAUUGUGAAGCUGUCCUGUGACAAGAACCAUGCGGCGUGAACUUCGGAAUAGAGUAAAAUUGCUGUUCAGUGUAAGCAAGCUUCUUGCAACUUUGUUUCCUGAGCAGAGACUUUUAGACCUUUGUUACUUAUUUGCAGGUGAUAGCAAUCCUUGAGUCUUUCGCUAUUACAAAGGAAGUAUAACUUUAUAUAUGUUAGUUUUCAUACUAAGUUGAGAAGUGUUACCUCUGAGUAUGCUUUGUGCAUCUCUUGGCCUCUUUUUGACUUGGAGUUAAGAACGGCAGAAUUUUUCACCGGUCUAAAAAAAAAAAAAAAAAAAAAAUUGCACAAAGCUGAGAAAGUAAAAUUUAU